ACGGAGGGGGCGAGCGUUGUUCGGAAUCACUGGGCGUAAAGGGCGCGUAGGCGGCAUUGUCAGUCAGGCGUGAAAGCCCGGGGCUCAACCCCGGAGUUGCGCUUGAUACUGCAACGCUUGAGACCGGGAGAGGGUAGUGGAAUUCCCAGUGUAGAGGUGAAAUUCGUAGAUAUUGGGAAGAACACCAGUGGCGAAGGCGGCUACCUGGCCCGGUUCUGACGCUGAGGCGCGAAAGCGUGGGGAGCAAACAGG
This 252-nucleotide ribosomal RNA is filed under the name uncultured bacterium. Its description in RNAcentral is "partial 16S ribosomal RNA". It matches the Rfam family "Bacterial small subunit ribosomal RNA", at positions 525 to 776 of the family's 1533-position model. The record is from RNAcentral.